This 21-nucleotide non-coding RNA is filed under the name Caenorhabditis elegans. The record is from RNAcentral. Lineage: Eukaryota; Metazoa; Nematoda; Chromadorea; Rhabditida; Rhabditidae.
UUUCCACGAUUUUUGUCACUC